Molecule: ribosomal RNA, 297 nt
Filed under: uncultured Sphingobacteriales bacterium
Lineage: Bacteria; Pseudomonadati; Bacteroidota; Sphingobacteriia; Sphingobacteriales
Description: partial 16S ribosomal RNA
Rfam family: Bacterial small subunit ribosomal RNA
Source: RNAcentral
UAACGAGCGCAACCCCUACUCAUUAGUUGCCAUCAGGUCAAGCUGGGGACGUCUAAUGAAACUGCCUACGCAAGUAGUGAGGAAGGUGGGGAGUGACGUCAAAUCAGCACGGCCCUUACGUCCAGGGCGUACACACGUGCUACAAUGGCCGGUACAAAGGGCAGCUACCUGGUGACAGGAUGCUAAUCUCAAAAGCCGGUCUCAGUUCGGAUCGGAGUCUGCAACCCGACUCCAUGAAGCUGGAAUCGCUAGUAAUCGCGCAUCAGCCAUGGCGCGGUGAAUACGUUCCCGGGCCUU